AUACGAAGGUCCCAAGCGUUAUUCGGAAUCACUGGGCGUAAAGAGUACGUAGGCGGUUUGGUAAGUCAGGCGUGAAAUCCCGAAGCUCAACUUCGGAACUGCAUCCGAUACUGCCAGACUAGAGUAAUGGAGAGGCAGGUGGAAUUCUCGGUGUAGCAGUGAAAUGCGUGGAUAUCGAGAGGAAGACCAAUGGCGAAGGCAGCCUGCUGGACAUUUACUGGCGCUGAGGUACGAAGGCUAGGGGAGCGAAAGGGAUUAGAAACCCCGGUAGUCC
Molecule: ribosomal RNA, 274 nt
Filed under: uncultured bacterium
Lineage: Bacteria
Description: partial 16S ribosomal RNA
Rfam family: Bacterial small subunit ribosomal RNA
Source: RNAcentral